This 440-nucleotide ribosomal RNA is filed under the name uncultured bacterium. Its description in RNAcentral is "partial 16S ribosomal RNA". It matches the Rfam family "Bacterial small subunit ribosomal RNA", at positions 338 to 795 of the family's 1533-position model. The record is from RNAcentral.
CCUACGGGUGGCAGCAGUGGGGGAUAUUGCACAAUGGGGGGAACCCUGAUGCAGCGACGCCGCGUGGGUGAAGAAGCGCCUCGGCGCGUAAAGCCCUGUCAGCAGGGAAGAAAAUGACGGUACCUGAAGAAGAAGCCCCGGCUAACUACGUGCCAGCUGCCGCGGCAACAUGGAGGGGGCAAGCGUUAUCCGGAUUUACUGGGUGUAAAGGGGGCGCAGACGGCGGUGCAAGCCAGGAGUGAAAGCCCGGGGCCCAACCCCGGGACUGCUGUUGAAACUGCAUGGCUGGAGUGCAGGAGGGGCAGGCGGAAUUCGUGGUGUAGCGGUGAAAUGCGUAGAUAUCAGGAAGAACACCGAUGGCGAAGGCGGCCUGCUGGACUGCAACUGACGUUGAGGCACGAAAGCGUGGGGAGCGAACAGGAUUAGAUACCCCUGUAGUC